Molecule: RNA transcript, 1134 nt
Organism: Spinacia oleracea (spinach)
Lineage: Eukaryota; Viridiplantae; Streptophyta; Magnoliopsida; Caryophyllales; Amaranthaceae
Gene name: rRNA-processing protein fcf2-like
Exons: 6
Source: RefSeq, a predicted model, not a curated record
GCCCACCACAUUUUCGAGACCCCUUUGUUUCUCUCUCAUCCUAUUCUUUCCAGAUCUGAAACCUCAAAACUUCUCCCCCUUGAAAAUCGAUCUUGUGCUUUCAGUCAUCAUCUCCUAUAACCAGCAACCCAUCCAAAUCCUUCGAUUUUCUCUGAAACAUUAAGCUCUACGAAAAUGGCUUGGUUCCGUCACGAACAAGGAGAAAUCUAAGUAAAUCUCGAUUUCCGGUGGGCUGUAUUUUGCGUUGUCGAUCCGAUAAUAUGGCUCUAAUAUUUCUAGGGUUUAUCUUUCUAAUAUUAUUCCCUCAAUCUCACGAUCCACAGUCACGCACACAAUCAAAAGAUCUACAACUAUGGCGACACCAAGAAACUCAAGCAGAUCUGUUGAGGAAUGUCAUGGAUCCACAACGGCAUUAUAAAAAGGGUGAUUCAAAAUCGAAGACAUUGCCCAAAUAUUUCCAAGUGGGUACCGUAGUGAAGUCAGCAUCAGAUUAUUUUUCUAGUAGGCUCAAUAAAAAGGAGAGGAAGAGCAGAAUUGCCGAUGAGGUGCUUGCUGAUGGCUCCCUUGCUCAAUACCGUUGUUGUCUUUCAGGCUGGGCUCUCUAAGAAUUGUUUCCGGUUUUCUUUAUGUUCUGCAUUAUUUGGAAAUUAAGUGGUUUCUUACUUGGAGAGUUAGAGUAUGAAUGAUCUUAAACACUGCCUUUUCCAGUUUUCAGUACUGAACCUCUUGCUUGUGAUCCAUCAACGCUUCCAAAAUAUCCACCAACCAAGGAGAUGGAUGCCAAACGACGUGGUGACGAAGCACGAAGGACGGAUAUUGUUUCAGCGAUGCAUGGUGACAAAUCCGCUAACUUAAGUGUGGUUGGAAAAUGCCUAGAGAAGGUUUUAGAGGAGUCUCGUUUUGCGAAUAAGUUUGUGCUACCAUAUAAGGAAGUCCAUGAAGACUCCAGUAACACUUUUUUUGGGAUGGGUCCUUACAUGGAUUUCCCCUAUAGAAUAUUAUAACCGUAAGGUCUAGAUGUUGGUGCUCCGGUAUAUCUUUCCGGCUUCGAUACCAUAUUUUUGUUCUUUUGAUAAUUUCUGUAACUUUUAACAUUCUGGAAUUUUGUUUAAAUUGAAUGUCACUAUAUUUGCA